UACAGAGGUCUCAAGCGUUGUUCGGAUUCAUUGGGCGUAAAGGGUGCGUAGGCGGCGCGGUAAGUCGGGUGUGAAAUCUCGGAGCUUAACUCCGAAACUGCAUUCGAUACUGCCGUGCUUGAGGACUGGAGAGGAGACUGGAAUUUACGGUGUAGCAGUGAAAUGCGUAGAGAUCGUAAGGAAGACCAGUGGCGAAGGCGGGUCUCCGGACAGUUCCUGACACUGAGGCACGAAGGCCAGGGGAGCAAACGGG
Molecule: ribosomal RNA, 253 nt
Filed under: uncultured bacterium
Lineage: Bacteria
Description: partial 16S ribosomal RNA
Rfam family: Bacterial small subunit ribosomal RNA
Source: RNAcentral